UGGGGAAUCUUGCGCAAUGGGCGAAAGCCUGACGCAGCAACGCCGCGUGCGGGAUGAAGGCCUUCGGGUUGUAAACCGCUUUCAGGAGGGACGAACGUGACGGUACCUCCAGAAGAAGCCCCGGCUAACUACGUGCCAGCAGCCGCGGUAAUACGUAGGGGGCAAGCGUUAUCCGGAUUCAUUGGGCGUAAAGCGCGCGUAGGCGGCUUGUUAAGUCAGAUGUGAAAACCGGGGGCUCAACCCGCGGCCUGCAUCUGAAACUGACAGGCUUGAGUCUGGUAGAGGAAAGUGGAAUUCCUGGUGUAGCGGUGAAAUGCGCAGAUAUCAGGAGGAACACCAGUGGCGAAGGCGGCUUUCUGGGCCACGACUGACGCUGAGGCGCGAAAGCUAGGGGAGCGAACAG
RNAcentral lists this ribosomal RNA (403 nucleotides) under uncultured bacterium. Its description in RNAcentral is "bacterial SSU rRNA". It matches the Rfam family "Bacterial small subunit ribosomal RNA", at positions 355 to 775 of the family's 1533-position model. The record is from RNAcentral.